RNAcentral lists this ribosomal RNA (497 nucleotides) under uncultured bacterium. RNAcentral's name for it is "partial 16S ribosomal RNA". It matches the Rfam family "Bacterial small subunit ribosomal RNA", at positions 28 to 507 of the family's 1533-position model. The record is from RNAcentral.
GAUGAACGCUGGCGGCGUGCCUAAUACAUGCAAGUCGAGCGAACAGAUAAGGAGCUUGCUCCUUUGACGUUAGCGGCGGACGGGUGAGUAACACGUGGGUAACCUACCUAUAAGACUGGGAUAACUCCGGGAAACCGGGGCUAAUGCCGGAUAACAUUUAGUACCGCAUGGUUCUAAAGUGAAAGAUGGUUUUGCUAUCACUUAUAGAUGGACCCGCGCCGUAUUAGCUAGUUGGUAAGGUAACGGCUUACCAAGGCAACGAUACGUAGCCGACCUGAGAGGGUGAUCAGCCACACUGGAACUGAGACACGGUCCAGACUCCUACGGGAGGCAGCAGUAGGGAAUCUUCCGCAAUGGGCGAAAGCCUGACGGAGCAACGCCGCGUGAGUGAUGAAGGUCUUCGGAUCGUAAAACUCUGUUAUUAGGGAAGAACAAAUGUGUAAGUAACUGUGCACGUCUUGACGGUACCUAAUCAGAAAGCCACGGCUAACUACGUG